GUUCAAAGGUCAACAUGUAAAUGCACGAAGUAAUCUGCAGACAAACAGCCCAGCCCUCAGUACAGUCAUCAAGAUAGCGAAUGUGUGCCCCUUUCUUCACUGGGAAGAAAAAAGACAGAGCAGCACAGCCUAUUCACUCACUAACGCAAACUAUAAGACCUGUCUGUCUCUAUGGGACCAAUGAAUGGCUGUCUUGGCCUGUUUCCAGCCCAGUCCAGUGCCUACCAUCUGUACGCACUCCAUCAGAGGCAGGCGCACCGAUUGGUUGCCGCACAGAGAGACCACACAGGCUGGCGUGUUGGCUGUGGUCUCCAGAAGGGCGAGAACUGCCUCCACACCCAUACGACUGGCC
Long non-coding RNA from Dicentrarchus labrax (European seabass), 352 nucleotides. RefSeq lists it as uncharacterized. The record is from RefSeq and is a predicted model, not a curated record. The transcript has 3 exons. Lineage: Eukaryota; Metazoa; Chordata; Actinopteri; Moronidae.